GCACUCGCUUUGGUAGCGCAUAUACUAAAAUUGGAACAAUACAGAGAAGAUUAGCAUGACCUCUGCGUAAGGAUGACACAUAAAUUUGUUAAGCAUUCUAUAUUUUU
Pteropus vampyrus (large flying fox) is the source of this 107-nucleotide small nuclear RNA. The record is from Ensembl. NCBI's taxonomy places the organism in Eukaryota, Metazoa, Chordata, Mammalia, Chiroptera, Pteropodidae.